This 550-nucleotide ribosomal RNA is filed under the name Notocotylus sp. BOLD:ACA9471. RNAcentral's name for it is "SSU rRNA". It matches the Rfam family "Eukaryotic small subunit ribosomal RNA", at positions 35 to 576 of the family's 1831-position model. The record is from RNAcentral. Lineage: Eukaryota; Metazoa; Platyhelminthes; Trematoda; Plagiorchiida; Notocotylidae.
UCUCAGAGAUUAAGCCAUGCAUGUCUAAGUACAAACCUUAAAACGGUGAAACCGCGAAUGGCUCAUUAAAUCAGCUAUGGUUCCUUGGAUCGUAAAUACUACAUGGAUAACUGUAGUAAUUCUAGAGCUAAUACAUGCCACUAUGCCCUAUUUUGGGUGGAUUUAUUAGUACAGAACCAACCGGAUGCAGUUCUGCUGUGUCUGUUACGCUCUGUGAUGACUCUGGAUAACUUUACUGAUCGCAGUCGGCCUUGUGUCGGCGACGGAUCUUUCAAAUGUCUGCCCUAUCAAUUGUCGAUGGUAGGUGACCUGCCUACCAUGGUGAUAACGGGUAACGGGGAAUCAGGGUUCGAUUCCGGAGAGGGAGCCUGAGAAACGGCUACCACUUCUAAGGAAGGCAGCAGGCACGCAAAUUACCCAAUCCCGGCACGGGGAGGUAGUGACGAAAAAUACGGAAACGGGACUCAUUAGAGGCUCCGUUAUUCGAAUGAGUACAAUUUAAAUCCUUUAACGAGGAUCAACUGGAGGGCAAGUCUGGUGCCAGCAGCCG